GAUGAACGCUGGCGGCGUGCCUAAUACAUGCAAGUCGAGCGGACAGACGAGGAUCUUUCUCCUCUGACGUUAGCGGCGGACGGGUGAUUAACACGUGGCUAACCUACCUAUAAGGCUGGGGUAACUUCGGGGAACCGGAUCCAACACCGGAUAAUAUAUUGAACCGCAUGGUUCAAUAGUGCAAGCCGUAUCUGCUGUCACUAAUAGAUAGAUCCGCGCCGCAUUAGCUAGUUGGUAAGGUAACGGCCUACCAAGGCUACGAUGCGUAGCCGACCUGAGAGGGUGAUCGGCCACACUGGAACUGAGACACGGUCCAGACUCCUACGGGAGGCAGCAGUAGGGAAUCUUGCGCAAUGGGCGAAAGCCUGACGGAGCCACGCCGCGUGAGUGAUGAAGGUCUUCGGAUUGUAAAGCUCUGUUAUUAGGGAAGAACAAAUGUGUAAGUAACUCUGCAUGUCUUGACGGUACCAACAGAGAAAGCAACGGCUAACUACGUG
This 497-nucleotide ribosomal RNA is filed under the name uncultured bacterium. RNAcentral describes it as "partial 16S ribosomal RNA". It matches the Rfam family "Bacterial small subunit ribosomal RNA", at positions 28 to 507 of the family's 1533-position model. The record is from RNAcentral.